AUGAAUGGGCGGGCCUUGAUCCCACAAAAAUUAU
Molecule: transfer RNA, 34 nt
Filed under: Anolis sagrei (brown anole)
Lineage: Eukaryota; Metazoa; Chordata; Lepidosauria; Squamata; Anolidae
Description: partial tRNA-Asx
Source: RNAcentral